UAGCAUAAUCAUUAGUUUUUUAAUUGAAAACUUGUAUGAAUGGUUGGACAAAGAACAAACUGUCUCUUUUGUUUUUAUUGAAUUUAACUUUUAAGUGAAAAGGCUUAAAUAUUCUAGAGGGACGAUAAGACCCUAUAAAGCUUUAUAAAUUUAAAAAUCUUAUAUAUUUUUAUAUAAAAAUAAUUUUUGAGGAGUUUAUUUGGUUGGGGCGACAGUGGUAUAAGUAAUGUAACUGCUAUAGUGUUUAACAAAAAUAUUUGUUUAGUGUAAGUAAUUGAUCCUUUAUAAGGAUUUUAAGAUCAAGUUACUUUAGGGAUAACAGCGUUAUUUUUUCUGAGAGUUCUUAUCAAAGAAAAAGUUUGCGACCUC
This 369-nucleotide ribosomal RNA is filed under the name Charybdis feriata. RNAcentral's name for it is "partial 16S ribosomal RNA". It matches the Rfam family "Archaeal large subunit ribosomal RNA", at positions 2034 to 2596 of the family's 2987-position model. The record is from RNAcentral. Lineage: Eukaryota; Metazoa; Arthropoda; Malacostraca; Decapoda; Portunidae.